UGGGGAAUUUUGCACAAUGGAGGAAACUCUGAUGCAGCGACGCCGCGUGAGUGAUGAAGAUCUUCGGAUUGUAAAACUCUGUCCUUAGUGAAGAUAAUGACAGUAACUAAGAAGCAAGCCCUGGCUAAAUACGUGCCAGCAGCCGCGGUAAUACGUAUGGGGCAAGCGUUGUCCGGAAUUAUUGGGCGUAAAGGGUACGUAGGCGGUUUAAUUAGUCCUAAUUAAAAGGCUAUGGCUCAACCAUAGUAUGGUUAGGAAACUGUUGAACUUGAGUAGAUGAGGUGAAAGUGGAAUUCCAUGUGUAGCGGUGAAAUGCGUAGAUAUAUGGUGGAACACCAAUGGCGAAGGCAACUUUCUGGAAUCAAACUGACGCUGAGGUUCGAAGGCGUGGGGAGCAAACAGG
Molecule: ribosomal RNA, 403 nt
Filed under: Fusobacteriota bacterium
Lineage: Bacteria; Fusobacteriati; Fusobacteriota
Description: Fusobacteria bacterium partial 16S ribosomal RNA
Rfam family: Bacterial small subunit ribosomal RNA
Source: RNAcentral